RNAcentral lists this non-coding RNA (23 nucleotides) under Gallus gallus (chicken). RNAcentral also lists the same sequence under 2 other names. Lineage: Eukaryota; Metazoa; Chordata; Aves; Galliformes; Phasianidae. The record is from RNAcentral.
CUCUGGACUCUGAAUCCAGCGAU